GUGCCAGCCGCCGCGGUAAGACAGAGGGUGCAAACGUUGUUCGGAAUUACUGGGCGUAAAGCGAGUGUAGGCGGUUUGGUAAGUCGGAUGUGAAAGCCCCGGGCUCAACCCGGGAAGUGCACUCGAUACUGCCAAGCUAGAGUAUCGGAGAGGUUGGUGGAAUUCUCGGUGUAGAGGUGAAAUUCGUAGAUAUCGAGAGGAACACCGGUGGCGAAGGCGGCCAACUGGACGAAUACUGACGCUGAGACUCGAAAGCGUGGGGAGCAAACAGGAUUAGAAACCCCCGUAGUCC
This 292-nucleotide ribosomal RNA is filed under the name uncultured bacterium. Its description in RNAcentral is "partial 16S ribosomal RNA". It matches the Rfam family "Bacterial small subunit ribosomal RNA", at positions 505 to 796 of the family's 1533-position model. The record is from RNAcentral.